AGAACGAACGCUGGCGGCAGGCUUAACACAUGCAAGUCGAGCGCCCCGCAAGGGGAGCGGCAGACGGGUGAGUAACGCGUGGGAACCUACCCUUUACUACGGAAUAGCUCCGGGAAACUGGAAUUAAUACCGUAUACGCCCUACGGGGGAAAGAUUUAUCGGUAAAGGAUGGGCCCGCGUAAGAUUAGCUAGUUGGUGGGGUAAUGGCCUACCAAGGCGACGAUCUUUAGCUGGUCUGAGAGGAUGAUCAGCCACACUGGGACUGAGACACGGCCCAGACUCCUACGGGAGGCAGCAGUGGGGAAUAUUGGACAAUGGGCGCAAGCCUGAUCCAGCCAUGCCGCGUGAGUGAUGAAGGCCUUAGGGUUGUAAAGCUCUUUCAGUAGGAAGAUAAUGACGGUACCUACAGAAGAAGCCCCGGCUAACUUCGCGCCAGCAGCCGC
This 443-nucleotide ribosomal RNA is filed under the name uncultured soil bacterium. RNAcentral's name for it is "bacterial SSU rRNA". It matches the Rfam family "Bacterial small subunit ribosomal RNA", at positions 26 to 518 of the family's 1533-position model. The record is from RNAcentral.